UUUUUUUUUUUCGCUCUAUUGCAUCCCUGAAAGAAAGCUUGUAGCUCUUGCAAGCAAGGAGUUGACUAAUUUCAUUGUUAUGCAAUUUGUAAAUAAAAGAAUUCGUAUGGAAAUUUUUUUUUUCUUCUUUUAUGCUUGAAUUUAGUAUGAUUCCAUAAAAUUUUCUGCUCCUUGAAUGAAGUGCUUAGGUCUUUUCUUGGAUUUGUAUUUCUGCAUUGG
RNAcentral lists this unclassified non-coding RNA (219 nucleotides) under Hevea brasiliensis (rubber tree). The record is from RNAcentral. Lineage: Eukaryota; Viridiplantae; Streptophyta; Magnoliopsida; Malpighiales; Euphorbiaceae.